Molecule: small RNA, 78 nt
Filed under: Flavobacterium succinicans
Lineage: Bacteria; Pseudomonadati; Bacteroidota; Flavobacteriia; Flavobacteriales; Flavobacteriaceae
Description: Flavo-1 RNA
Rfam family: Flavo-1 RNA
Source: Rfam by way of RNAcentral
UCUUAGCCCCGAUUGCAGUGGAAAUCCUUAUAGCCCGGGGUUCGGGCUAUAAGAUUGCAACGUAAAGCGGGACUUUUC